UACGUAGGGGGCAAGCGUUGUCCGGAAUCAUUGGGCGUAAAGCGCGUGUAGGCGGUCCGGUAAGUCCGCUGUGAAAGUCGGGGGCUCAACCCUCGGAUGCCGGUGGAUACUGUCGGGCUUGAGUACGGAAGAGGCGAGUGGAAUUCCUGGUGUAGCGGUGAAAUGCGCAGAUAUCAGGAAGAACACCCGUGGCGAAGGCGGCUCUCUGGGACGGUACUGACGCUGAGACGCGAAAGCGUGGGGAGCGAACAGG
This 253-nucleotide ribosomal RNA is filed under the name uncultured bacterium. RNAcentral describes it as "partial 16S ribosomal RNA". It matches the Rfam family "Bacterial small subunit ribosomal RNA", at positions 524 to 776 of the family's 1533-position model. The record is from RNAcentral.